AGAAAUAUAGCUCGGCGGAAGAGCGACGGGCUCAUAACCCGUAGGACCCUGGAUCGAGACCAGGUAUUGCUA
RNAcentral lists this transfer RNA (72 nucleotides) under Trichoderma hamatum GD12. RNAcentral describes it as "tRNA-iMet (CAT) (tRNA-iMet-CAT-2-1)". It matches the Rfam family "tRNA". Rfam says of the family: Transfer RNA (tRNA) molecules are approximately 80 nucleotides in length. Their secondary structure includes four short double-helical elements and three loops (D, anti-codon, and T loops). Lineage: Eukaryota; Fungi; Ascomycota; Sordariomycetes; Hypocreales; Hypocreaceae. The record is from RNAcentral.